Molecule: small RNA, 152 nt
Filed under: Chelonoidis abingdonii (Abingdon island giant tortoise)
Lineage: Eukaryota; Metazoa; Chordata; Testudines; Testudinidae
Description: TUC338 (ENSCABG00000011814.1)
Source: RNAcentral
UGGAAGGAAUUUAUUUAUCCACAAAACAGGUAGAGCAUAGGUUGCAGCCAUGCAAGUUUCUCUUACACCACGCCACCAAUGUGCCUCCAUUAAUCUGGACAGACCACCUUUAAAGUAGUCAUUCUUUAUGGCCCAUUCCAUCCUCAGCCUCU